GACGAACGCUGGCGGCGUGCUUAACACAUGCAAGUCGAACGGAAAGGCCCUGCUUGCAGGGUGCUCGAGUGGCGAACGGGUGAGUAACACGUGGGUGAUCUGCCCCUUACUUUGGGAUAAGCCUGGGAAACUGGGUCUAAUACUGGAUAGGACCAUGCUGUAGGUGGUGUGGUGGAAAGAUUAGUUUCGGUAAGGGAUGAGCUCGCGGCCUAUCAGCUUGUUGGUGGGGUAAUGGCCUACCAAGGCGUCGACGGGUAGCCGGCCUGAGCGGGUGGACGGCCACAUUGGGACUGAGAGACGGCCCAGACUCCUACGGGAGGCAGCAGUGGGGAAUAUUGCACAAUUGGCGCAAGCCUGAUGCAGCGACGCCGCGUGGGGGAUGACGGCCUUCGGGUUGUAAACUCCUUUCAGCCAUGACGAAGCCCUUGUGGUGACGGUAGUGGUAGAAGAAGCACCGGCUAACUACGUG
This 469-nucleotide ribosomal RNA is filed under the name uncultured bacterium. Its description in RNAcentral is "partial 16S ribosomal RNA". It matches the Rfam family "Bacterial small subunit ribosomal RNA", at positions 28 to 507 of the family's 1533-position model. The record is from RNAcentral.